CACAUGCAAGUCGAACGGAAAGGCCCUUCGGGGUACUCGAGUGGCGAACGGGUGAGUAACACGUGGGUGAUCUGCCCUGCACUCUGGGAUAAGCCUGGGAAACUGGGUCUAAUACCGGAUAGGACCACACACUUCAUGGUGAGUGGUGCAAAGCUUUUGCGGUGUGGGAUGAGCCCGCGGCCUAUCAGCUUGUUGGUGGGGUAAUGGCCCACCAAGGCGACGACGGGUAGCCGGCCUGAGAGGGUGACCGGCCACACUGGGACUGAGAUACGGCCCAGACUCCUACGGGAGGCAGCAGUGGGGAAUAUUGCACAAUGGGCGCAAGCCUGAUGCAGCGACGCCGCGUGAGGGAUGACGGCCUUCGGGUUGUAAACCUCUUUCAGUAGGGACGAAGCGAAAGUGACGGUACCUACAGAAGAAGGACCGGCCAACUACGUGCCAGCAGCCGCGGUAAUACGUAGGGUCCGAGCGUUGUCCGGAAUUACUGGGCGUAAAGAGCUCGUAGGUGGUUUGUCGCGUUGUUCGUGAAAACUCACAGCUUAACUGUGGGCGUGCGGGCGAUACGGGCAGACUAGAGUACUGCAGGGGAGACUGGAAUUCCUGGUGUAGCGGUGGAAUGCGCAGAUAUCAGGAGGAACACCGGUGGCGAAGGCGGGUCUCUGGGCAGUAACUGACGCUGAGGAGCGAAAGCGUGGGUAGCGAACAGGAUUAGAUACCCUGGUAGUCCACGCCGUAAACGGUGGGUACUAGGUGUGGGUUUCCUUCCUUGGGAUCCGUGCCGUAGCUAACGCAUUAAGUACCCCGCCUGGGGAGUACGGUCGCAAGACUAAAACUCAAAGGAAUUGACGGGGGCCCGCACAAGCGGCGGAGCAUGUGGAUUAAUUCGAUGCAACGCGAAGAACCUUACCUGGGUUUGACAUGCACAGGACGUACCUAGAGAUAGGUAUUCCCUUGUGGCCUGUGUGCAGGUGGUGCAUGGCUGUCGUCAGCUCGUGUCGUGAGAUGUUGGGUUAAGUCCCGCAACGAGCGCAACCCUUGUCCUAUGUUGCCAGCGGGUAAUGCCGGGGACUCGUAGGAGACUGCCGGGGUCAACUCGGAGGAAGGUGGGGAUGACGUCAAGUCAUCAUGCCCCUUAUGUCCAGGGCUUCACACAUGCUACAAUGGCCAGUACAGAGGGCUGCGAAGCCGUAAGGUGGAGCGAAUCCCUUAAAGCUGGUCUCAGUUCGGAUUGGGGUCUGCAACUCGACCCCAUGAAGUCGGAGUCGCUAGUAAUCGCAGAUCAGCAACGCUGCGGUGAAUACGUUCCCGGGCCUUGUACACACCGCCCGUCACGUCAUGAAAGUCGGUAACACCCGAAGCCAGUGGCCUAACCUUUUGGAGGGAGCUGUCGAAGGUGGGAU
RNAcentral lists this ribosomal RNA (1400 nucleotides) under Mycobacteroides abscessus subsp. bolletii. RNAcentral's name for it is "bacterial SSU rRNA". It matches the Rfam family "Bacterial small subunit ribosomal RNA". The record is from RNAcentral. Lineage: Bacteria; Bacillati; Actinomycetota; Actinomycetes; Mycobacteriales; Mycobacteriaceae.